UAUAGGUUAGGGAGGGCAGGUAUAAGUUAGGGAGGGCAGAUAUAGGUUAGGGAGAGCAUCCAUCGGUGAGCUCUGACUGGAUGUGAGGACCUGUCACACUUGACCAGAGAGGAAGGCUGCAGCACAUUCCUGGAUUAGAGGACUCCAUGUUGGACACAACAACCUGAAGAAAUCCCGUCCUGGAUGGCUGCAGUCAUGGCCUAGCCCAAGAUGAACCGACCUCUUCCACGGGAUGUCUACAGAUGUUGGACUUUGCCGAACUG
Solea senegalensis (Senegalese sole) is the source of this 263-nucleotide long non-coding RNA. RefSeq lists it as uncharacterized. The record is from RefSeq and is a predicted model, not a curated record. NCBI's taxonomy places the organism in Eukaryota, Metazoa, Chordata, Actinopteri, Pleuronectiformes, Soleidae. The transcript is spliced from 3 exons.